This is a long non-coding RNA of Nicotiana attenuata, 452 nucleotides long. RefSeq lists it as uncharacterized. The transcript has 3 exons. NCBI's taxonomy places the organism in Eukaryota, Viridiplantae, Streptophyta, Magnoliopsida, Solanales, Solanaceae. The record is from RefSeq and is a predicted model, not a curated record.
AGACAUACAGAAGGAAAACCCUACUUUCAGCAAUUACCCUACUGCCUCUAAGCCUUGUAGAAGAUCUUAUUUGAUUUAGUUGUUGCUGUUGAGAAGAUGAACUCAUUCCUCCGCACGAAAAAGACUAGGCCAUACUCCUUCCAACAAGAUGAAAUUGCGGUAUUAGAUUUAGGGCAUAAAGCUAGAUCUUAUCUGCUGCUGCUCAUAAAAAUGAGUCGAGUAAUAGUAGAGACAAGUGGUGGCUUGAUUUGUUAUAGAAUCUUGUAGUGGGCAAUGAGUGCAGAGAUGAAACCCAUUGAUGUUAACAAGUUAGGAAUAUUCAGCUGAAGUGUGUGCUUUUAAUGAUUUGAUCUUCUUGAUCAGAAAAAAGGGCAUAACAAUAUUUAAUGCCCAUUUAGUAUGGUAUUAAAGGCUCAUUAAUUUGCAUCUUGAAGUGCUUACGUUGUUCAAAA